UUUUUACAGGUUCAGGUCCAGAAGCAGGUAUGUAAAAGGGUCAGAAUGGGGGUUUCCUUCAUUUCUGUAUUCUUUUAAUUUUUAAUGCCAUUUAUUUCUAUUCUUUUUGCCUCUUAUUAACCGGAUUUUUGUGACAAAAAUGUCGGUUAUUGAUUUGGGGAUGUACGGGGGGGGGGGGGGCGGCCGGGCAGGAGGGCGGUCAGGCUGUCGGGCGGGCGGGUGGCAAUCAAAUGUUGUCCGUGCAUUAACUCAUGAACCAUUCAACCAAAGCUUUUAAAAUUUUAAUAUGUUAUUACUGACAACUAUACGAAGGUCAAGUAAAAUAAUGGCGAUUUUGACUUUUACCGUUCAGGAGUUAUGGUUCUUAAAAGAUUGAAAAAUGGAGUUUCCAGUCGUGUCCGUGCAUUUACGCAUGAACUGUCCUACCAAAGCUUCCCAAAUUUUAAUAUGUUGUUACUGAUGACAGAAUGGAGGUCAAGUUCAAUAAUGACAAUUUUGACUUUUACCGUUCAGGAGUUAUGGUUCUUGAAAGAUUGAAAAAUGGAGUUUCCAGUCGUGUCCUCGCAUUUUCUCAUGAACCAUUCAACCAAAGCUUUUGAAAUUUUAAUAUGUUGUUACUGGUGACAAAAUAGAGGUCAAGUUCAAUAAUGACGAUUUUGACUUUUACCGUUCAGGAAUUAUGGUUCUUGAAAGAUCGUAAAAUGGCGUUUCCAUUCACGUUGUUGCAUUUACUCAUGAACCAUUCAAUCUAAGCUUUUCAAAUUUUAAUAUGUUGAUACUGAUGACAAAAUGGAGGUCAAAUUUGAUAUUGACGAUUUUCACUUUCACCAUUCAUCAGUAAUGGUUCUUGUGAUAUUGCCAGGACACAAAUAAAUGUUAAUAAAUCCGGUUUGCUGUCGUUGUGACAGCCUCUUGUUCUCCUUUGGUUAUAUUUGAGCACCUCUUUAUUCUCUGGUCUUUAUUUUUUUUGGUAAUUUUUUCUCUAUUCUUUAAUUAUAUUUUGUGCCCACUAUUCUCUCCUUUUUAAACCCCCAUCCACACCAUCAGUCUCAAGGUUAUUCAAUGUGAAAAAUUACAAUAUAAGGGAACUAAAAGAAAGGAUGAAAUAUAGAAAGAAAAAAAAAGGUUGAAAUAUAGAAACAAAAAAAAGGAUGAAAUAUAGAAACAAAAGAAAAGGAUGAAAUAUAAAAACAAAAAAAAGGUUGAAACAUUUGAAGAAAAAAAAAGGAUGACAUAUACUAUAUUUAACAAUGGUCAAAUUCUGUGGAUCAUUUAUUUUUAUAGGUAAUAAUUCGUGGAUUUAAACAAAAAAAAAUCCUGGAUAUUUAAUUUUAUUGGUGUUGCAAAAAUUUUCAGACAAGAUUAUAGAAAAUUUGUACUUCAUUGAACCUUAAAAAUCGUGGAAAAACUGUUUCCACAAAAACUCCAAAACUGGUAUCCCACGAUAGAAGUGAAUCUACAGUAUAAUAGUAUGUCAACUCUAACCUAUAGGAAAUUAAGAUAAUGUGUGAAAAGAAUAUACACAAUAUACAUACUUUUGUUGCAAAAUAUAAAAUCUAUUUGUACGAGGUUUAUAAACAGAACCAAAAGCGAGGCUUGCUGGCUGCUGUUUACAAAUACAUUUUAUAUUCCAGACAAUGUAUAUAUAAUGUUUUUAUCCUGCAAUGUACACCUGGUACUUGAGCUUAAGUUGCUUAAAUUAAAAAAAAUGCCUUUGAUUUUUCAAAGAAAGGAAAAUUUUGAAAUGCAGUAUUCAAAGAGGACAUGAUAAAUGAUCUGUUACCCAGAAAGAAAUAUUCACAUUACCGCUUGCUCGAA
This 1818-nucleotide long non-coding RNA is filed under the name Mytilus galloprovincialis (Mediterranean mussel). The record is from RNAcentral. Lineage: Eukaryota; Metazoa; Mollusca; Bivalvia; Mytilida; Mytilidae.